Molecule: long non-coding RNA, 1781 nt
Organism: Vicia villosa (hairy vetch)
Lineage: Eukaryota; Viridiplantae; Streptophyta; Magnoliopsida; Fabales; Fabaceae
Exons: 7
Source: RefSeq, a predicted model, not a curated record
UCAAAUGCGCUACCUUUCUCACAUGUCUCUCUUUCUACUUCGACUAAAAAAACAAUAAUAGAAAUCAAAGAAAAGAAAAUGCUUCACUGAAAAUGAAAUUCCCACACAAAAUCUCAACCUUUCCACACUGCAAUCGUGAAACUUCAACCGGAUUUAACCAAAACGUAAUUACAAUCAUGAAUCAUUUAAAUCCUUUUCGAACCCUAAACUUUCAGAUCGAAAAAAUCCACUGUGCCGGUUUCUCUCAGGCCACCGCGAGCUUCAUUUCCUCCAAGGAUUCGAAUAGUGCAUGUUAAAAUCUCCCCAGGUGUUGGAUUUGGUAAUGAAUCACUUAACUGGACCAAUUCCUACAAAGAUUGGAAAUUUAACUCUACUUGUGAACAUGUAGAAGACAUUCAAUUAUGCUAGUGUCACCUUAGUAAACUUUUUUAAUAAUUGUUUGUUAGUAACUUCACUGGCUUGUCCUUGUUCUGGCCAAGGCAUUGAAUCAGAUGUUAGUAGCUUAUAGAUUCUACACUUGGAAUGUUACCUAUGGAGAUAUCUAUCCUCUUGGAGUUAAACAACAGGGUAUAUUGAUAAAUGGACAGUUUCCAGGACCUCAGAUUGAAGCUGUCACUAAUGAUAACUUGAUUAUCAAUGUUUUCAAUAGCUUGGAUCAACCUUUUCUGUUUUCUUGGAAUGUAGUAGAGCAGAGAAGAAAUUCAUGGCAAGAUGGAGUAUAUGGAACAAACUGUCCAAUUCCACCAGGAAAGAACUUCACUUAUGUUCUUCAAGUAAAAGAUUAGAUUGGUAGCUUCUUUUACUUUCCCUCCCUUGAAUUUCACAAGGCUGCAGGUGGUUAUGGUGGCAUCAAAAUUAACAGCCGUCCUAUGAUUCCGGUACCGUUUCCUCCUCCGGCAAAUGAUUUCACCGUAUUGACCGGAGAUUGGUACAGCAGAAAUCACACAGUAAGUAGCUUUGCACUUGCGAAACUAAUGUUCGAGAUCGUUUGAAGUUAAUAUAAUAAUCGAGUGAUCUGAGCCGUCUUAUCUCAAAUUGGUGACUUUUCUUCUUUCAGGAUCUUCAGGCCAUUCUAGACAAUGGAAGUGACCUUCCUUUUCCUGAUGGACUUGUCAUCAAUGGUCAUGGUUCUAAUGCUUUCACAUUCAAUGUAGAUCAAGCCUGAGUUUGUUCCAAGCGAUGGCCACCGUACUCCUCUGCCGGAGAGUCCUCGAGUUCCUAUGGAGUUUCUGUCAAGGCCAUGAAGUACUUCAGCUCUUGAAGUCACAAAGGCUAUUGCACUAGCUCAUUCUCAACCACCUCUUUCAUCAUGCAUGCCAUCAAAUGGUUCUAUUCCUGAAUAAAACAGUAUCUACUCUAUCUCUGAGGAGCUCUCAAUUGUGUCUAAGAAUCAGUUUUCCUUCGCUUCUUCUGCUACUUCACAGCUUGUCCUUGAACGCAUUAUGUCACACUCUGCUAGAGGAAGUGUCACCGUUAACAUCAGGUAGAUUAUCUCAUAGCAGUGAUGGGGGGCUUUAUACCUAUGGAAACAAUGGUGAAAGGUAAGUCUGCAUAUCUUUUUGUUAUUUGGCGUGCCUUGGAAAAAGAGUGCGAGCGUUUGUACUUUCUAGACUCUUAAAUUCCUAAGUUAAUAAUUUAGACAUUGGUCUAUACUUCUUAUCAUGUAUACAUAGAUUUUGAUGUGAAAAUAUUUUAACCUCUCAAAGGUGACUUUGAGUUCAUCAUGGAUGAAAGUAAAGUCGGUGAUUGCAUUUGGAUUAUUUUAGAAAGUACCUGCGGAU